CCGGCACGGGUGAGUAACACGUAUCCAACCUGCCGUCUACUCUUGGACAGCCCUCUGAAAGGAAGAUUAAUACAAGAUGGCAUCAUGAGUCCGCAUGUUCACAUGAUUAAAGGUAUUCCGGUAGACGAUGGGGAUGCGUUCCAUUAGAUAGUAGGCGGGGUAACGGCCCACCUAGUCUUCGAUGGAUAGGGGUUCUGAGAGGAAGGUCCCCCACAUUGGAACUGAGACACGGUCCAA
RNAcentral lists this ribosomal RNA (237 nucleotides) under uncultured bacterium. Its description in RNAcentral is "partial 16S ribosomal RNA". It matches the Rfam family "Bacterial small subunit ribosomal RNA", at positions 100 to 334 of the family's 1533-position model. The record is from RNAcentral.